AUUGAACGCUGGCGGCAUGCUUUACACAUGCAAGUCGAACGGCGGCGCGGGCUUCGGCCUGGCGGCGGGUGGCGAACGGGUGAGUAAUGCAUCGGAACGUGCCAAGUAGGGGGGGAUUGCUCGACGCAAGCCGGAUUAAUACCGCAUACACCCUGAGGGUGAAAGCGGGGGAUCUUAUCACCUGACGCAGAUGGAACAGCCGUAGGCAGAUUAGCUGGUUGGUGGGGUAAAGGCCUACCAAGGCGACGAUCUGUAGCCGGUCUGAGAGGACGACCAGCCACACUGGGACUGAGACACGGCCCAGACUCCUACGGGAGGCAGCAGUGGGGAAUUUUGGACAAUGGGCGAAAGCCUGAUCCAGCAAUGCCGCGUGUGUGAUGAAGGCCUUCGGGUUGUAAAGCACUUUUGGCGGGAACGAAAAGGACUGUGCCAAUACCACGGUUCGAUGACGGUACCCGCAGAAUAAGCACCGGCUAACUACGUG
This 484-nucleotide ribosomal RNA is filed under the name uncultured bacterium. Its description in RNAcentral is "partial 16S ribosomal RNA". It matches the Rfam family "Bacterial small subunit ribosomal RNA", at positions 29 to 507 of the family's 1533-position model. The record is from RNAcentral.